Molecule: ribosomal RNA, 254 nt
Filed under: uncultured bacterium
Lineage: Bacteria
Description: partial 16S ribosomal RNA
Rfam family: Bacterial small subunit ribosomal RNA
Source: RNAcentral
UACGAAGGGGGCUAGCGUUGUUCGGAAUUACUGGGCGUAAAGCGCGCGCAGGCGGCUAUCCAAGUCAGUGGUGAAAAGCCCGGAGCUCAACUCCGGAGGGUCGGUGGAUACUGCCAGUCUUGAAGGUGCUAGGGGGAGAUGGAAUUACCGGUGUAGCGGUGAAAUGCGUAGAGAUCGGUAGGAACACCAGUGGCGAAGGCGGUCUCCUGGGGCAUUCUUGACGCUGAGGCGCGAAAGCUGGGGGAGCGAACGGG